RNAcentral lists this transfer RNA (68 nucleotides) under Bubo virginianus (great horned owl). RNAcentral describes it as "tRNA-Val". The record is from RNAcentral. Lineage: Eukaryota; Metazoa; Chordata; Aves; Strigiformes; Strigidae.
CAGGACGUAGCUACACCAAAGCAUUCAGCCUACACCUGAGAGACAUCUACCGCCACAGGUUGUCCUGA